RNAcentral lists this ribosomal RNA (442 nucleotides) under uncultured bacterium. RNAcentral's name for it is "partial 16S ribosomal RNA". It matches the Rfam family "Bacterial small subunit ribosomal RNA", at positions 338 to 795 of the family's 1533-position model. The record is from RNAcentral.
CCUACGGGUGGCAGCAGUGGGGAAUAUUGGGCAAUGGACGCAAGUCUGACCCAGCAACGCCGCGUGAAGGAAGAAGGCUUUCGGGUUGUAAACUUCUUUUAAGGGGGAAGAGCAGAAGACGGUACCCCUUGAAUAAGCCACGGCUAACUACGUGCCAGCAGCCGCGGUAAUACGUAGGGGGCAAGCGUUAUCCGGAUUUACUGGGUGUAAAGGGAGCGUAGACGGCAAUACAAGUCGGAAGUGAAAUACCCGGGCUCAACCUGGGAAUUGCUUUGGAAACUGUAUGGCUGGAGUGCUGGAGAGGUAAGCGGAAUUCCUAGUGUAGCGGUGAAAUGCGUAGAUAUUAGGAGGAACACCAGUGGCGAAGGCGGCUUACUGGACAGUAACUGACGUUGAGGCUCGAAAGCGUGGGGAGCAAACAGGAUUAGAUACCCGGGUAGUC